RNAcentral lists this long non-coding RNA (6945 nucleotides) under Sus scrofa (pig). RNAcentral's name for it is "lncRNA (ENSSSCG00050057379.1)". Lineage: Eukaryota; Metazoa; Chordata; Mammalia; Artiodactyla; Suidae. The record is from RNAcentral.
GAAUCCAACUAGGAACCAUGAGGUUGUGGGUUCAAUCCCUGGCCUCGCUCAGUGGGUUAAGGAUCUGGCAUUGCCGUGAGCUGUGGUGUAGAUCAAAGACGCAGCUCAGAUCCCAAGUUGCUGUGGUUCUGGUGAAGGCCAGCAGCUGUAGUUCCAAUUCAACCCCUAGCCUGGGAACCUCCAUAUGCCACAGGUACUGCCCUAAAAAGACAGAAGACAAAAAAAAAAAAAAAAAAAAAGAAAGAAAGAAAGAAAAGAAAGAAAAGGAGGGAAGGAGGGAAGGAAGGAAAAGAAAGAGAGGAAGUUCCCAUUGUGGCUCAUCAAAAAUGAACCUAAUAUCCAUGAGGAUGCAGGUUCAAUCCCUGGCCUCACUCAGUGGGUUAAGGAUCUGGAGUCGCCAUGAGCUGUGGUGUAGCAGGUCUCAGAUGCAGCUCGGAUCCUGCGUUGCUGUGGCUGUGGUGUAGGCGGGCAGCUGAUGUUCCAAUUCAAUCCCUAGCCUGGCAACUUCCAUAUGCCAGAUGUGGCUGUAAAAAGACAAAUAGGAAAGGAAGGAAGGGGAAAAGAAGAGAGGGAAUUGGCGGGGGGUGGGAGGGAGAGGAGUGGCAAAAGGGAUGGAAGAAGGAAAUAAACCCAUAGAUUGUUUGGACAGUUUAAGAUGCUCAUUCUUUCCAACGGCAAGGAGAACUACAUGAUGCCAAGGUUUCUCAAGCUUCUAUCUAAUCUUAAAAUUAAAUUAGGUGACAAUUUAUGUUCUAAUGUUUCAAAAAAAAUUUUUGGCCAUGUUUCAAAAAAAAGAAAAACUAAAGCUUUCCCUCAUACAUUAAUAUCCAAAUGUAAACAAUUUGUCCAACAAUGUUCUAUAUAUAUAUCACUUAACACUUUAAGAAAACAAUAAAGUGGUAUAACUCUAACAUCUUUUGUUUCCACAUACUAAACAGGAUAAAUGCAUUGCUGUACAAAAACUUUCAAUCUUUAAAAAUGAAGCAAAAAUUUCACUAAGAAAAGACACCAAGUAACACUUAGUGUUAUUUUUAAACUCACAUUAGCUAUUUAUGUUUAAAGUGGUUUGUGAUUCAAUCAACUAAUGUUUACAGGACAUCAGUGAUGUGCAAUGUAUUAUCUCUGACACGGUGCGGAAUACAAAGAAACAAAAGGUAGCGUCCAUACCCCCAUAAAACAUAAAAUUAAGUUAUGUAGACAAGGCCUAAGAACUGUGUCAGGUUAAACAAAAAUGCACAAGAAUGCAAUAUAAGAACUAUCACAUGGCGGGUUACAGUUAAUUGCAAAGCGAAUGGAACAAGCUCUAAGUCCCAGGCAGUGGACACCACUAUAAGCUAGGAGAUGGUAAGGAGAUGGGGAGUCCUGAAGAGGACCUGAAAGAUGGAUAAGAGCACAGGAGAGGGAAGGCUGAGGUCUGGAAAGCACAAGGUAUAUUUGAUCAGAUGAGAUCCAGCAGAGUUUCUCAUGGGGAAGCAGUGGGUAAGGCUGGGUAAAUAUUUUGGGAUAACCCUGGCCUUGAAUUCUUCAAGGUUAAGAAGAUGCUUGCGAGAAUACCUAAAUCAGCAUUUUAGGAUCAUUGGUCUCAUCGUAAUUUAUUUAUUUUUACGCACUGCUUCUUAUGUUGCAGAUACAGUUCUAAGUGCCUUAUAAAUAUCAACUCAGUUAAUCCUCAUGGCAGCCCUUUGUGGUAGAUACUAGGAAACUAAAGCACAGAGAGGUCACAGUCACUUGCCUGUGCCCACACAGCUAGGAAGGGGUGGGGCCAGUAUCUACAGCAGCAGUCUGGCUCUAGAGUCUGUCCUGCCUGCAGCUGUGCUAGCCUGGCAAAGGACAGCCAGGAUGGAGUGGGUCUCCCAGAAGCAGAUCAGGAAUCCCCACCUGGUGGCUGAACAAUGAGUCGAGCCUUGGUGGAAAAAGAGAAGAGAUCCUUCGGAGGAACCAGGCAAAAUAUCAAUUACUUGAACUUGGGUGAGUUUGGAAGUUAAGGGGGUGGGGUUAAAGAUGAUAAGAAAGGAAAAGUCAAAGAAAUUUUUUAUUUUGAUGCUUCCCCUGGAGAAACACAGGUCUGAUUGGAUAAGAUGGGUCCAGAUGUAGACAUGAAAGGUAUGAGCACCUUGAAACAUGAGUUUGCAUCUAGCUGUGUGACUCUGAGCAAGUUACACAAUCUCUCUUGCUUCUCAUUCUUCAUCUGUAUUGGAAACAAUUUCAGUAACUGAAAUGAUGUAAAUCAAAGAUUCAGCAUAGCCUCUGACAAGAAGAAAGCUUUUCCAUUAGAUGUCCCUGAGACACUGGAGGUAUGGGGCCCAGCGGGAAUGAGUUCAUGACUAAAGAAUGUGGGUUUGGGGAUGGAGGCGAGGAAGAGCUUAAAAUCAUAAAGGAACAGAAGUGGGAUUGCCUCUGUGCUGGGCUCUUCAAAUGUGUCAUUGUGCAUCACUCUCACGACAACAACACAGUGAGGCCACUUACAAUGUGCCUUAGGAAGAUGGAGUGGAGGAAGGGGCUAGAGAUUGAGUUUGUGACUGAUCAUCCCUUGUGAUGAAGCCUCCAUAAAAAUCCCCAAAAUGUGGGGUUUGGAAUGCUUCCAGGUUGAUGAAGACAUCCACACGCCAAGAGGAGAGUGGCGUAUACCAGCCUCUGCUCUUGGGGACAGAAGCUAUGGCACUUGGGACCCUUCUGGACCUCACCCUGUGUUUCCCUCCAUCUGGCUGUUCAACUAUAUCCUUUAGAAUAUCCUUUAUUAUUCAAUAAACCAGUAAACAGGUGUGUUUCCAUGGGUUCUGUAAGUGUUCUAACAAGUGAUCUAAUCUAAGAAAGAGGUCAUGGAACCUGAUUUAUAGCCAAGUUUGAGAGAAAUUGUGGGUAAUGUGGGGUCUACUACUUGUAACUGGCAACUGAAUGGGGCUGGGGGGCAGUCUUGUGGGAUCCUUCACCUGUGGGGUCUGUGCUAACUCCGGGCAGUUCGUGUCAGAACUUCUUGGUGUGGAAAAUUCACACAUCUGGCAUCAGAAGUGUUGUGAGUGUGGUAUCAGUAUAAGAGUAAAGGAAAAACGGAGUUUUUCCAAGUCGCUACCCCAAGUGAGGGCUCUCCAAUCAACUGCACUUAGGGGACCUGACCCAAGAAAAGCCCAAUGCAGUACCCCAGACAGCCACCUGGAUGCGCGCUUUCUCUUCUUGCCAAUUCUAUUUCUAAAGCUAGGAGGGUUUCUCUUGCACCACUGAUCCAACACAAUCUCAUUCUGUACCUCAUUUAAAAUCCUGUAUCUAUACAAAAUCUCUCAGAGACAUACUCCCAUCCUGUCCCCUUAACUGAGGUGGGGUCCUGGAAUGGGCCUGGAAACAUCUAUUGCUUUUGGCCUGGGUAUUCUAAUUUGCACGCCAUUGGCUUUUAUCUCGGAAGUGGCCACCACUUCUGCCCCAGGGUUUUCCUUACCCUCUUAAACCCACACUCAGAUUCCCUGCAUGUCUCAUAGGGUAUGUUAAUUCCCUACUAGAAAACAUCCCUGGCAGAAAGGUCAGUGAGGAUCCCAGCCAAGGAGAGCAGAGUUUCAAAGAAAGAGUGAUCAGCAGUCUUAAAGGCUAUCUGAAGUCUGAGGACCGGGAAAAGACACUGACUAAGCUACUGAGAGCUAAAGAGAGCUUGCAAAGAUGCUAAGCAACAGAGGCACAAACCACAUUGUAAGGGUGAAGAACAGAGAUGCUCUAAACCAUUUUCUCUGAAACUCAUCAAUGAAGGAAGGGAAAAAUAAGGUGAGGAGGGAGUUCCUAUCAUGGCUCAGUGGUUAACAAAUCCAACUAGGAACCAUGAGGUUACAGGUUCGAUCCCUGGCCUUGCUCAGUGGGUUAGGGAUCUGGCAUUGCUGUGAGCUAUGGUGUAGGUCACAGACGCAGCUCGGAUCUGGCAUUGCUGUGGCUGUGGCGUAGGCCUGUGGUUACAGCUCCGAUUCUAUGCCACAGGAGCGGCCCUAGGAAAGACAAAAAGAGAAAAUAAUAAUAAUAAUAAUAAUAAGGUGAGGAGAAGGGGGGGAGGGGCACAUGAUCAACUGAAACUUGUUCUCAGGUAGAAAAUAACCUAGGGUUAUUUUCCAACAGAGGAUAAAGAAAGAGAAUAUGAAACCAAGGUCUAAGGUACAAUAAAAUUUCCCUCUUGUUGAUAAAAUAUUUAUAUCUCUUUGUCAUCAAGAAUUAACUUCACUUUCCAAAAGCUUUAAUGAGCAAGUAAAGUAUAUAUAAAUACAGGUACUGUUUCACUUGAAUUUUUUGGAUUUUGAAACAAUGUAUCCAUAUGCUAAUACAUGCAAAUCCUUUUAAAAUUAUAAGCUCUAUAGUUCUCUCUGACCCCUUUUGAUUAAAUUCAACUGGCAUGAAAAGCAGUAACUGAAGUAUUAAGAAUCAAUUAACAGUGAUCUGGCCGAUUGCCAUUACACCUUUAAUUAGCAGUAUUGGUUUCAGUAUCACGGGACAAUGGUCAGUGGCUAUAAAUGAAUUGAUUGCACAGCCACCAGCUGACAUUUUGAGAACCUUGAUACAUCAUCACUUUUUCCUGCUACUAAUUAAGAUUUAUAUCUUCCAGUGCAUUAAUUUUGCAAAGGCCCUUUGUGAUGGAGGCAGCGUUUUUCCACUGCCUUUGUGUCCGUGGAUCCCACUGGUUACAGCCUACACACUCUGAACACAGACUUGGCAACUCCAUCCCAGGGACUCAAUUCAAACGGGAUCCUCUGCUGAUCCAUUCAACAAACAUCUAUAAAAGGAUGACCACAUGCAAAUCUCAGGGCUAAAUGCUAGGGCAAGGGAGGAGGGGAGAGAGGAAUAAGGCAUUCACCCUGAAUUUAAGACGCUCAUCAUUUCCGGAGGAUACACACACAGUAGAUACUCACUCUGAUACAGUGGGAUGCAAAUUACAACAGGCUAGAAAUAAUGUGACUAAGGGCACAGAAAAUGAAGCAAUUAGUUCUGAUUUCCAACAAGUGACUUUUUAAAAUGCUUAUUGUCACAAAGAUUCAAAGGCUCACCCCUAAUUCAUAGAACAGAGACAGGGACUUUUAUUGGUCAAUUACAUGGCCAGUCUGGAUGUUUGUGAAGAAGCAGCUCAUCCAUCUCCAGCCAUAAUUCCCCCUCUGCUGGGAGCAGGGACUGGCCCAGCCUGGCUUGGCUUUCCACUCAUUGGUCAGAGGGUCUGCUUCUGUUCCUUCGCCCCUCCUCCAAAGCAGCCCAGUGCCAACUGUUGCCAUUUAAUGACACAAGUACUGCUAUAAUUAGAUCGACAUGCAUAAGAUACAUAAGAAGCACUUUAGAAACUUUUUUUUUUUUUUUUGGCUGUACCCACAGCAUGUGGAAAUUCCCAGGCCAGAAGCCAAACCCGAGCCACAGCAGUGACAACCCCGAAUCCUUAACCACUAGGCUACCAGGGGACUCUUACUUUGGAAGCAUUUUUAAAAGCCCUCUUUCAGGCUUCACUCUUAGAGGUAUUAUUAAAACUGAUAGCCUCCAAACCAAAUAUGGAGAAAUAUAGCCUAACCCAGUUUUCUAGCUUUACAACUGAGAAAACUGAAACCAGAGAGCUAAUUUCCCUAGGACCCAGGUAGUGAAUAAUAACAGCAGACCUAGCACUCCUUCCGAGCAGCUGUGUUUCCAGAUGUUUUACACAUGUAGUAGUAGUUCCUUUAAUCCUCACAACUCGAUAAGACAAAUACAGGUAUUAUCUCUUUUUACGGAUGAGGAAACCAAGGCACAGAGAGGUGAACUAAGUUGCCCAAGGUCACAGUGAGACAUCACCAAGUCUAGCCUUUGAACCCAGACUUUUUGACUACAGAGCCUGCCAUAAUCACUACCCCACCAGGCAAAUGUGGCUCAGAACACAGGUGGUCUGACUCCUGGGCCGGGGCACUUCCAGCACACAGCACUGCCUUGAUGGCUGUGAUUCUCAGGUCACGACCUGGGGCUUCUUCCAUGGGUCACGGAGAGCUCCAGGGGUUUUUCCUUUUGGGAAGAGCUGGCUUGUUUUGGAGAUUUGCUCACAUCACUUCUCUUCCUCUGCCACAUUCUAUGCAUCUCUUGGCUUACAGCAGCUCAAGAAUCAGAGGAGCUCAACUUCGGAGCUACCGUUGAGGAGCUGAGUGUGGGCUGAUGAUGGGAACUCCCAAAUUAUACUUCCGACUUUGAACUUUUUUUUUUUUUGUGCCUGAUCUCACUGAGAGACUGAACCUCUCAUGGAAGACUUUGGAAAAGUCAGAAGUUCCGGUCAUUUAGAAGAAAGCAUGGGAAGUGCAGUCGACAGAAAUAAGCUCCAAAGCAGAAGGGCCUGACUACGGGCUCAAGGGCCCCCAUCUGCACGAGAGAAUAACCUUCAUGAGACAUUUCUUUUCAUGACUCUGCUGUUUGGAAUCGCUGGCAGGCUGUAACCUCAAUUAAGCCAAGCUUUUUAUUUCUGAAUCCCUGGGCCCUAUGCACUAUCCUCAGUGGCAAGGAUGUUAGGAUUUCUGAAGAUUCCAACAUAGAACAGCUCCACACAGUCGCUAGAACAGCAGAAGGUAGUGACAGGUGACUGAGCAGCGAAAUGCUAUGUGUGCAGCCAGAGGGAGAACCGCCCAGAGGCCUCACCCUCAGCUGGACACAGGCAGCACCUGGAGGGCACCAUUUGUUUUACCUCAAAGUUCUGGGAUAGAGGUGACCUUAAUAAAGUCUGUUUGUGGAGUUCCUGUCAUGGCUCAGCGGAAAGAAAUCUGACUAGGAUCCAUGAGGACGCAGGUUCACUCCCUGGCCUCGCUCAAUGGGUUAAGGAUCCGGCGUUGCCAUGAGCUGGGUGUAGGCCACAGAUACAGCUUGGAGCUGGCAUGGCUGUGGCUGUGGCGUUGGCCGGCAGCUAUAGCUCCAAUUCUACCCCUAGCCUGGGAACCUCCAUAUGCUGUGGGGGCGCCACUAAAAAGACCAAAAAAAAAAAAAAAAAGU